This is a non-coding RNA of Podarcis lilfordi (Lilford's wall lizard), 77 nucleotides long. The record is from the annotation of a GenBank genome assembly. NCBI's taxonomy places the organism in Eukaryota, Metazoa, Chordata, Lepidosauria, Squamata, Lacertidae.
UACAGGGAUAGCUCAGCUGGUAAAGCAGGAGACUCUUAAUCUCAGGGUCAUGGGUUCGAGCCCCGCACUGGGCAAAA